This 266-nucleotide signal recognition particle RNA is filed under the name Tissierella creatinophila DSM 6911. RNAcentral describes it as "Bacterial large signal recognition particle RNA". It matches the Rfam family "Bacterial large signal recognition particle RNA". Rfam says of the family: The signal recognition particle (SRP) is a universally conserved ribonucleoprotein involved in the co-translational targeting of proteins to membranes. Archaeal SRP consists of a 7S RNA and homologues of the eukaryotic SRP19 and SRP54 proteins. The record is from Rfam by way of RNAcentral. Lineage: Bacteria; Bacillati; Bacillota; Tissierellia; Tissierellales; Tissierellaceae.
CCGUACUAGAUGGGGAGCUAGCGGCACCCUAUAACCUGCAAUCCGCUAUAGCAGGAUUGAAUUCCCAAUGGAGGUAUCUCUAUUGUGGGGUCUGCCCCAAGUAAGUGGCGUUGACGAUUGGGUCUUACGCAACGAAAACUCAUGAACCCCGUCAGAUCCGGAAGGAAGCAGCGGUAAGUGAAUCCUUUCGUGUGCCGUGAGGUCGCCUGGUCCGAGUUAACUGCUUGGGUAACGCCUGGAAUAGGAUAUCGAUAUUGGGUGUACGG